UUAAAUAUAUUUUUCUAGUAUAUUUAUAGGUAUGAGUAUAUUUUACCUUAGAAUUAUUGAUAAAGGUUUGCAUGCUUUUAUUUACUACAUUAUGUAAGCUAAAAAAACAACCUUUUAAAACUUGUGCUUGGGCUAUGUUGUAAAACAUACAGCUUCUUCACAAAAAGUAUUAGUGUUACUCAUAUAAGAUUUAUUUAUACCUAAUACUUAUUAAAUUAGAUAUGUGUGUAAAACUAUUUUUUUACUAGGAUUUCUGAUGCACUGGUUAAAAACACAGCAGCCAAUAAUUCAGUUAAUUUACCAAGUGAUUUACCCUUCAAAGCUACAGGGGUAGCUUUCCUGAAGAGUGCAAAAACUUCUUUAGCUUUCAAAAUGGUAUAUAGUACAAACAGUGAAGCUAAUAUAGACACAUCUGAUCAUUCAUCAUCAACAAUAACUGCAUCUGAGAAUUAUAGUUCUACAGUAACCGUGGAGUCUAGGUCAACAAUUACUAUUUCUCAUCCAAGCCGUUUUUGUUUAACUGCUACACAUUCCCUGACUCUGCCAAGGAAAAGGGUAAAAUCAAAAUGAUAUCCUGAGGACCUG
Long non-coding RNA from Anthonomus grandis grandis, 585 nucleotides. RefSeq lists it as uncharacterized. The transcript has 3 exons. Lineage: Eukaryota; Metazoa; Arthropoda; Insecta; Coleoptera; Curculionidae. The record is from RefSeq and is a predicted model, not a curated record.